Molecule: non-coding RNA, 96 nt
Organism: Strongylocentrotus purpuratus (purple sea urchin)
Lineage: Eukaryota; Metazoa; Echinodermata; Echinoidea; Camarodonta; Strongylocentrotidae
Product: microRNA mir-2002
Exons: 1
Source: RefSeq, marked provisional
UAUUCAUCAGACUGAUAAGACCAACAGGUGUUAUUCUCAUGUGUGAUGUACAGAUCUGUGAAUACAUCUGCUGGUUUUUAUUAGGCUCGAUGAUAG